UUUUUUUUUUUUGUAGAUUUGACAAAUGGAUAUUAAAGGGAUACAAAAUUGAUACUUUUCAUACUAUUACGACAGAGCACUGUAAAAUGAAUACUUUACAUACUAUUACGAUAGAGCACUAGUUGUAUAGCACUACUUCUUGCUUCUAACUAUAGAAACAGUUUUAUGAAACACUAAUUAACCAACCGAACCGGUUAUUAACCACUUUCCGGCCCACUCUCACCCCUUCUCUGUAGCCAGCUAUGGCUAAUGAGCUCAUCUUCUCCUUUUUCACGUCAUACUCUGUUUCGCCUUUCUCGAUUUCUAUAAGCUUUUUCGAAAGCUACAGAAUCAUUCCAUUAGCCGUUGAUUUCAACGGCCGAGAUCAAAAGAGUUCACCGGUGGUCCCUACUCCUCUGCCAUUUUCCCGUCCGUUUUCUUGUCGGAUUCUCUCUUUCUUUUACAGAGCAGCAGAGAUCUAAAGCUUACAGACUUUAUCCACCGAUCCAGCAAACCGCCAUUGGAGGAAAUCACACUCAACCCAGUGUUCUAGAUGAUGCUAAUCAUAAACCCAGAUCGGCCAUUUCUCGAUUUUUUUCAUUCCCACGAAGCAAUUCAAAACUCAAAAUCCCCUGUUUCCGGCUACGAGAUGCAGAGUACUGAACUGGAAAUGAAUCCGUAGAGAAUCCGGAUUAAGAAAUGGAAAUGGAAGGAACAAUGGAAUACGGUAUAAACAGACCAAUUACAGUACUAUAGAUUAAUAAAUCGAACUGUUGACAAAAUCCGCCAUGGGAGUUUAACAACCAAAGAAAGAAAAAGAAUUACAAUUUGUAAAAAUCAAAAGUGGCAGCCGCAGCAGAGGUAGAAGAAGGAAACGGUGGCGACCAAAACGACGGCUUCCAGAGCCGAAACGACCUUGAAGAGGACAUCGUCGACGAGCGAAAUCUGAAGAUAUUCCACUCGCUUCCAUUUGAAAGCAGACGUCAAGUACUUCCACCUCCAUCUAAGCGAAUCUUUGUUCACUUUCAUGAUCAUUCUCUUUAGAACCCACGAUCCUGAUCUCUUCUUCUGCUUCUUCCUACUCUCGCUGUCGCCGGUGGCGGCGGCGACGCACGGCGGACUCAUGCUUGCUGCCGGUCUGAUUUCUUCUUCUCCGUCCAAGGUAGCAUCGUUGCUCCUCAUCUGAAGCUCGGACAGAAGAUUUGGGAAAUGGGUGAUGGAGUUUUUGAUUCGUUUCUUGGUGGAUUUGACGAAUUGGGGAAGUUGGUUUCAGGGGGGUUGGGAUUUUGUUUUAUACCACCGGCUGGAAGAAGGGUAUAGAUGAGAUUUGUUAAGUGGUGUAGGGGUAUGAUUGGGAAUCUACAGUAGAGGAAUAAAGAAGCUGAGCCGCGUUUUUAUGAGUCAGAAUCAGAAAGUAGGGGCCCACCGGCCCAGUAUGAAAGGGAGUGAUCAUGUGGGGACGGGUGUACCUACUGGAAUUCGGUUUGGGUAAUGGGUGAACCGUUUAACCAACUAAAGAAAGGUGGAAUUUAAUUACGGUUAACGCUAAAAAAAUGGGUCAAUAGCAUUGGCUCUUCGGGACAAACACAUCGAUACUCCUCUUUGAUCCAUUAUGUUUUGGAGCUCUUGACUGUUCAUGAUAUUUCCUAUAAAGAUUGAUAUGUCGACAUCAAAGGCAAUGUUGAGUUGAUUAUUUUUUGAUUCGCUCAUAGGAGUACACAUCGUGGAGCCGGCGAUGCCAUCCUCAGAGGUCCUGACCUCCCUGACUAUCUAUCCUCGUUUCUAGGUGCAGGUUGUUCGACAGUCUACUAAUUGGAGUUGUCCACUCAAUAACACAACACGCCCUUUAAUAUUUUUCAACUGUAUUAAGACCAAUUUCAUAAAUCAGAUCGAUUCUUAAAUUACAUGUGUUUGCCAUCUUAAUCCCUCCCAUUUGAAAUUACCUACGACAAAAAAUAGGUUAAUCGAAAAGAUAAAAUCGAGUUAAAUUAUUCAACCACACACUCCUCCGACCACGGAGAUCCUAGUCCAAUAAAAAAAUCAAACAAUUUUUCAAUAAAAUCCAUUAUGUUUAAUUAGGCUAGUCUAUAAAAAUUCCAUCUCUAAUUCUCUAUAAUUUACUUGGGGAACAAGAUAUUCCUAUGGUACACGUAGAGUGACAAUGACUUGAAAUUAAAAUUAAAUAGUGUAUAUUAUUCAUGUGCAAACUAAAUGUGUGAAGCAUAAACCAGAGUUAUAUGCUUAAGAAAACAUAUCAGAGCACGUUAAUCUGUUAUGUCACUUAAUUGUUAACCAACCAAAUUAAAACCGAUUAACCAAACUAACCAAAUAACCGAGCAAUUAAUUAACAAACUCCUAAGUAAGAAGCUCAUAUGAACGGCUCUUUGCGUAUCAAGGUUCAUUUUAUUCAUCAUCAAAAGAAUUAUGACACGAAACCUGUACUAUGAACGGCUAGAGAAUAUACUUUUACGUGACUAUUUGAAAAUUAAGCUUAUUUGAAAUUUUUUAAAUCGGUUAAUAUUUGACAUGCAUGUUGGGAGUGACUAAAAAUUGAGGGUUCAACAUGUUAAGCCCUUCAAAUAAUAGCCAAAUGCGGUUGAAAAUAUUUUUUGACAUACUAAAAUAAUAUCGAGUAAAAUUGAUUUUUAACUACUUUUGAUAACUAGAUAUAGGGGGUUACCAUUAUGAAACUGUAUUUCAACUCAAGCCUAACAAAUGAACUCAUGGAAGGUGAAAAAUUACAAUUCCGUCCUACAUCAAUGGGAUAUCUAGGGCUCAUAAUAAAAAUAGAAAAAGGAUGGAAAUUAAUUUAGUUGGAAGGGGAUCCCUACCCCUUCAUACACUAUUGAUUUAAUAGUAAAAAUCCCUCUACUAUUAUAUAUAUAUACUAGAAUUACCCGUAUGAUAUUGCGAUUGAAGAAUGGAAAAUAUCGCAAGAUCCAUAAAGGGUCAUAUGUGGGUUUAAAAUAAAGCGCUCAUAAACUCAAAAUAAAACUCUAAAAUGCAAAAUAAAUCUCUAAUAAACUCAAAAUAAAGCCCUCGUAAAAGAACCAAACACUAUUUAUUAAAUAGUAAUUCAUGUUCUCCGUUUAUAGAUAUAAAACUAGAAUUAUUCGCGCGAUGCUGCGGAAAUUAUUAGAGACUAUGUAGAGAUAGAUAAACUAUUCUUUUGUUAUAGAAAACGUAUUAGGAAAAUGAAAGCGUGAGACAAUUUAAGUAAAUAGAAUAAGAAAAACGGUAUAACAUGUCAUGUGCCUUCAAGACCAUAUAUGUAUAAAGGGUCUAACUAAUACAAAUUGUUUAUCAUGACUGUAAUGUAAUUACGAUUCAACUACAAUCUAUUANNNNNNNNNNNNNNNNNNNNNNNNNNNUUACUUAAUAAAUUGAUUUCGCAUAUCGUGAGACUCACCGAUUUGGAUGGUUCUGGAAACCAUGAAUAUGAAGAGAAUGGGAUUCUUUAUGCUUAGCUUUACUCUUUCAUGUAUCACCACGAUAUGUUCUUCCAGCCUUUCCUCCCAAAGAUGCUUUAAAGUUCUGUGCAAUUUCUUUCUGUUUCUCUACAAAUUUUCAACGGUGACAGAUCGGAAUUGGACAGUCGUGUAAUCUUCGUCGACGGUGCCUCAAUGUUCUUCUACUUUCUUCCGGCCUUUCCUCCCAAAUAUGCUUCCACGUAAUCUAAACUUAGUGCAAUUUCUUUCUCUGCUGUCUAUACGGUGGCCAGCCUGAUAAAAAUUGAAUAAAGGAAAAAUUAAAAAGAAUUAAUAGUGGAAUCACAGUUGAAUAAAAGAAGAAUAAAAAAAAUUAACAGUGGAAUAACACUAACGAUUAAUGUAAUUUUCGAUUUUAAAAUCGAUUAGUCCAUAAAAAAAAAGGAAAAUUUUGUCAGGGAUUUUUUGUAAAAGUGGCGGGGGGGGGGGUGAGAAGUAAAUUAAUACUCCUUAUAUACAUAAGGGUUUCGAUUAAUCCAUAAUCAUAACGGGCCUACAUUAACAAAUCAACGUACAAUAAAUGUUACAUCUUGGUUCGACAUAAAAACCUCCAAAAUUCAUUGCACGGUUCUCGUCGGUAAAGGAGACGCCUCGAUGUUUCUACUUUCAACACGUAGGACGACCACGAACAUCGAUCCACGAUGUCAACUGGCUGGCUUGGCUUGUACAUAAACUUGAAUGACAAGAAUCAAUCAUUCAUCUUCUUGUCAUUAAAAGAAAAAUAAGGUAGCCAAUUUGGAGACAAAAUGAUUCGAAGAGAUGUGAUGACUAAUGGGUAAAGAUUCUUUAAUCCUCUAUUGAUUUUCAUUGCGAGCGGGUCCUAAUCGGUUCAAAUCGUUAUGGGUGGUCCAAUCAACAAAUAGUUUGUUGAUAGAUAGAAUCGGUUGAGUAACGCCUUUUUAUAUAAACCACCUUCUAGUUGCUCAUGACGCUUCCUAACAAGAUAUGUAGGGAACGUUAGCUUGAGUGAAAGAAGGGGGGUAAGACUGUGUAAAUGAGAAUGAGCGAGAGACUGAAAAGUAUCUGAGACGGAGCCCGUGGGCGUUUUCUAUAGGCCAAGGCGUAACGUGGGAGACUCGACGUCGGUGUCGCAGGCUAUCCGUCAGGCCAUGAGUAUAAGGUCUUUUCUUUUCUACUACCUAGUCCCGAGAUUCAGACCAUACAUUGAUGUGUCGUGAUCUAAACGAUCUAUCUGUUGCCGUCGAAUCUGAACCUUGGUUAUUAUCCAACUACACUUGCAUGGAGCUUGGACUGUUGUCGAGUGGGCUCCCCUUCAUGGGCUGGGCCUUGGGGCUUUUGGGCCUUGCUUGUAAGGAAAUAUAUACGUGUAGGGAAGUUGUUGCAUGCAUAUUAUAAUAAAACAAAAAGGAACCUCCGCCGUGCCGAUUAGACUCUUUCAUUUCCAAGCUCGACGGACUUAAGCUCUUACGGCGGCUGUUCUCUCUAUAAACAAAUUCUCCGCCGGAACAACAAAUUAAAAUCCGGAACAAAAAAAAAAAAGCAAUGGCUCCUCCGAUAAUCAUGCUGUCUUUUGUCUCACUAAUCAUAUCAUCAACCGUCGCCGAACCUCCCAGGUGUCAUUUCAACGGCCUCAUUUAUUAUGGGUGCGACUUGGGCCGCUGCUGUAGUAUCUGGAAUUACUGCAGCAGCGACCCGUAUUUCUGUGGCUCGGGUUCGGGUUAUUGUAAAUUUCAGUGUUUUCAAUCGGCUAAUAAUAAUCAAAUUGGUGGGAUAAUUAAUAUUUGUGAUAUAGUCGUUAAUGCUACGUAUAAUGUGUAUUACAACGACGACGACGUCGUAUCCCGUGGAUUGGCGGCGUCUUUGUCUUGUGGAAGUACUUCUCUUCUAAACGACACGUCGUCGUAUCACUCGGCAGCUUUUGGCCGUCGCCGUCGACACGACAAUAAUGCUGCUGCUUCUACCUGCGGCCAGUGCUUAAAGGUAAUAUAUUUGUCAAACAAUUUUUGUUUAAUAUUGGCUGAUAUUCGUAUUGGUAUCCUCUAAUAGUUAGUUAUUUAUGAUAUCAUAGUUUUUUUUGGAUGCGUAUAAAAUAGAAGAGCGGAAAUUGAACAUUAUAUUAGUAUGCGUUUGUGGGUUAUGUUGGAUUCGAAUUCGAAACUUUCAUAAGUAGAUAUUCAUAGAUCAAAUAUUUAAUGAGUGAAUGAUGAUAUUAUAUAAAAAAAUUUAAAAGUCAUUUUGAUGAGGUAUUUGAAUAAGAAUAAUUAAUUUAAUAUUUAAAAAUUUAUUAAUCAAAUAAGAUAAUUUAUGUCAUGUUUUUAUUUUAUAAAUUUCAUAUUGCAAUGUAAAUUUGUUUUACCAAAUAUUAUAUAUAAAAUAUCUUACCCAAACGAAGGUUACUUUGUGUUUUGCUAUGCGUUUGUGGUGCAGUUGAGAAAUCUGAAAUCUGGAACUGAAGCAACGGUGAGGAUCGUGCAUGAACUUACCACUGAGGGGCUUGAACUGAACAAUAGCACAUUUUACAAGCUUAGUAGUAAAACUAGAGAUCAUGAUGAUCACCUUGUUCUCAACUAUAAUCUUACAACUUGUCAUCAAGACUGACUAAGAUCCAACAAACCUUAUUCUAUUUUACUAAUUUCAAAGUUCAAUCUUUAUUAUAGCUAAACUAAUCUGUAACCAAACCUAUUCAGUGUUUCAAUUAACAUUUUUCAUAUUUGAGGGUGGAUAUGGUUAUGUUGUUAUAUAAUCGAGAGUUAUGGUUAGGUUACUGAAAAAAUGUUAUAAUAGACUUGGUCGACCCACGUAUGAGACUACAUACAUGCAAAAAAUAAGUUAAUUUGAAAAUUUUCAACAUUAACAUCCCACUAAAUAAAAAUAUUUUUUAACUUCAUUUGAUCAUUUUUUAACUUCAAUUGCUAAAAAUUGAGGUUUCACCAUAUUAACCCCUUCAAAUAACAGUCAAAUGAAGUUAAAAAUUAUUUUUCAAUAUGCAAAUUAAAGUUUUGAUGAUUGAUGUUAGUAGAUGUAUGUACUUUCUGAUUAUUAAAAUUUAUAAUUUGAAUUUGUAGCGGUUUUCCGCUGUAUAAUAAUAUAACACCUACGUACACUUACACAAAAAAGAACAAAAAAAACACAUAUUACGUCUAUAUUGAAUACAAACAAUAGCAUUCAUCCAAAAACAGAAUAAAAACAAUAAAUCUACACUGAAAAAAUAAAGACAUAUUUUACGUGUAGGAAACUAAAAGGAACCUAAGCCUGCCGAUUAGACUCGUUGUUGUGCAGUUAAUUUUGACGGACUCAAGCCUCUUACGGCGGUUGCUUCUUUCUAUAAACAAAGAGUGAAUGAAUAGUUUGUAAACAUUACGAUGAGUCCGCGUUUCGGUCAGAUCGGUAACUCUAAUUUUCUUUUGUUCGGUUUCCAGCGCAUACCAAGAGAAAAAACAAGAAUAAUGACUCCUCCAAUCAUUGCUGCAACAUUAAUACUACUGUUGUUGUCCUCAUCCUCGUCGUCGACCGUUGGCGCCGAACCCGCAGAUCACAGGUGUUACGACGAUCCGAAAGACGGCACGCGCCACGGGUGCGACUCGGGGAGGUGCUGCAGUUUCUACGGUUACUGCAGUGACGACCCAGGGAUCUGUGACCCGGGUUCUAAUCUCUGUCUAUUUCAGUGCUUUUCUUCAUCUCAUGUUCAUACGGCCAAUGCUACGACGUCGUAUAAUGAUCAGUACUAUAACGACAACGUCGUCACCGUCGGUAGAUCGUCCAAUCAUGCGCUGGCAUCAUUUUCGUCGUCGUCGCCGUUAUCUCCUCUAAAGAUCAUGAUGAUCACCUUAUUCUCAAGUACCAUCUUACUACUUGUCAUGACCGACUAAGAUCCAACAACUUUUGUAAUAAGUCACAUGUCUGGUUCGAUUUACCGGUUCGUAUUAUAUAGAAUUUGAAAUGUACCGUUUCGUAUAUCAUGUAUACUAAUAAAUAAUGUUUAUAUAUAAAGAAAAAUAUAAGGUAUCUGCUCGUUGAAAAGAGACGUCAAAUUAAAAUUACAUAAAAUGCCUAGACAAACUAGGGAGUAGGAUCCUAAAUUUCUUUAUGGUCUUAAUAAUUCGAUUACUCAAAUCUUUAUCAUAUGUCUAUUGAGAUGAGUUUUUUGGUGUAGGUUUCACGAAUUUUAGGUUAAAAUUAUGAGAUGAACAAGUGAAUGAAUUGGGUUAGAACAAAUUAUGUUUUGGAGGAAGCUAAAUGGCUAUAUGUAGCCUCCUAAUAUGGCAGGAAAUUUUAUUAAUUAGAAUCAUAUAUAAUUUUGCAUUAAUUGAAUAUGCAUUUGAAGAAUUACCAUAUUGAAAUUUUUAUUUAUCGGCCGUUAAACUCGAUCGGAUUGAAAUUGAUAAUAUUUUGGAACUCAACCAGUAUGAUUUGAUUCUAUUCAACCAUAACCAGUGGUUAAAACAGAUCAUUUUUUAUCACGCUUGAUUGACACUGAGCACACGAGAAAACAAGACAUAGUUGAUCAAGCUACCACGCGAAGUGAAGUGAGUGCAUAAGUGGAAUCCAAGACCUCUGAAGUGUAAUGUCGAUAGCUAAAUAAGGUUUUUUGCCACCUGUGUACUCAUUUUAUUUUGUCGGGAGAGAUCGAAAUAAGUAUUUAUUUUCGAUUUUGGGUAAGUUGGGUUUGUUUUUGGUAUGUAAGUUUUAAAUUUGUAACGACAUUCACUUUGGCGGUAAAUUUAUUUCAUUAUAAAACGUUUUUUUUUCAAAUCAUAUAGAUCUCCUUUGCCGCCCAUUUAACAACAAAUCCCCCCGUUUCCAAUUCAGAAUCAAUUGACGCCGGCGCCGGAGCAAUUACCUCCCGCCAAUCCCCGUCCAGCAGCGCCCGAUCCAGAUCCCCUCUCCAAAUACCUAGAGAAAUUCAUCAUCUCCGAUUCCGCAAUCCGCAUCUGCUCCAAGCUCAAAUCCUCCACCGGAAAAUCCCACCAGUCAGCCGCCUGCUCCUCCUUCUUCCUCCUCUCCGUACUCACCGCCUCCGCCCGCUUCUUCAUCGCCUCCGAUCCGGCCUCCAGCUCGAUAACCUGCAGGUUCAGCUCGUCGAUCGUCAACCUGUUGCGCAUCCUGUUAAACCUGCGGGCGGCCAGAUCGGUCACCAUCCCCUGCACGUCGGUCGUCUCCGGCACAGGCCGGAGGAACCGGCCGGCGACGGAUUCGAUCGACGGGAAGCCGUAGGUGAAAGGCCUACCGGAGGGGGAGAAGAACAAGACCCCAACCUCUGCCCCGCAGAGGGAGACGAUAUCGCUCGCCUUCUUGUAGAUCCCCGCCCGACGCUUCGAGAAAGUGAUCGAGCGGGCGUCGGAGUUUUCGAUCCGUUGCAUCGGGAUCUUUCGCCUGCCUCUCGUCUUCUUGGUGUUUUCCGGUUCCGCCAUGGGAAGGAAAAAUGUAAUAUUCAGUGAAUUUUAGUUCGUGAUAUUCCGAGGAUUUUUGCCUAUAAUUUAUAAUAGUGGUGUAAGUGUAACACUUUUGACAAAUAAGGAAAAAUAAUGAAUGAGUUGUCAUAAUUGUAAGAUAUGGUAGUUUUAAGGAAUAUGGAAACAAAUAUAAUGUUGGAUUUUUUCAAAUCUGUUUGGUUCUACCUACUACAAUAUUUUAUUUGGUAAAUUAAUUUUGGAGGUUUAUGUGGAGAAAAUUGUAUUUUAAAUAUGUUGUAAUGAAACUUUUUAACCUAGUUACUUUAAAUGUAGAGUUUUCUUGCAAUGCUUUUUAAGCUUUUUAUGUUAAAAAAUCUCACCAAUUAGGAAAAGUAUUUGAGUUUUUUUUUGAAAAUUAAAAGGAAACUAUUAUCAUAAACUAUUAUAUCCUAAUAAUUUGAAUUAUUAAAAAAGAAAUUAAUUAUAAAUUACAUCAAAAAUAUCAAAUAUGAAAAGAGUACAUACCAAAUUGCUUCUAAUUCUCGAUACCGGCAAAAUAACCUAUUACGUAAAUUUUUUCACGGUAAAAAAAAAUAAACUCGAUCUUCCAUACUUUCAUCGUUUAACUCAUGAAUUUUCUAAAUUUUUCUGUUCUCUUUUCUUCUGUUUAUUAAAGGUUAUUGUAGCGGUUCUAUCGUCGAGGACUCCGUGGCCCAAUGGAUAAGGCGCUGGUCUACGAAACCAGAGACUCUGGGUUCGAUCCCCAGCGGAGUCGUUCUUACCUAUUUUUAAUAUGCAGACGGAUUUCUAUCCCCAAAAUUUUUAAAGCUCUUAUUGAAUCAUUUCCAAAUUUUGGUUAAAGAUUCUGAACAAGCAUAUAGUUUGUAGGUAUAUAACAACAUUCUGAACAAAUCUAAUACACCCGAAUCGUCUCAGUUCUCUUCGUCGAUGGUUACUCCGAUUCUUCUGGGCAAAUGAUUAUGAGUUGACUUCUAAGACCUGAAUCGUCUCGUUGAUGGUUACUCAGGGAUUCUUCUGGGUUAAUGAUGGGUCGACCUGGGAGUUUGGGUGUGGAGUGGAGAUGCAAGGUACGAUCGUAAAACGAACGUUAUAACGAACCAUCUAUUACACAAAUCAUUUAUAACAAUUUCAACAGCGAACUGUGGAUCUUGUAAGUCUUAAUCAGCAAAACCUUGGCAAUGAUUUUCAUCAUGUGUAUGCCAGAGAGAAGAAACCAACUCUUUCCACUCCUCAGCUCUGAAUCCGAUCACUCAUGGCGGUGCAAGCUGAUUCUAGCUCCAGACAGUUUUCACACCCUCUGAAAGUUCGAUGGGAUUCAGAUGAUACUCAUGAAAGUUCGCUCUCUAAAAUCACUUUGUGGGGAUCCAACUUUCCGGCUGUCAAACCAAGCCAUUGAGUCUUCACUUUCUUUCUCCGAUUUUGCCAAAAUCUUUAGGAGGCCACACCUGGAAAUCCAUACACAGAACAUCAGAACAUCAAAACAAACACUGAUGAACAAUUCUAGAGUGAAAUCAAGCAAUUUGAUUCAUUAGACAUUGUACCUAUACAGAGAGAGGAAAGAUGAGAGAAUAGGAAUAUAUACCCUCCAAAACAACUUAGCUUCAACAAGUGCAAUAAGGAACAGGGCCAAAGUCCCUCGAAUCUUUCGAAUUGUAGAUGUUAUCUCCUUAUAUCCAAACAUGUCUCCUCGGAACCUAAACCCAAACCAAGUUCUCAUUCAGCAAACACAGCAAAGAAAGCCAGGAGAGACACAGACAGAAGUAUUCAUUAACAUUAUACCACAGCAGUGUGGACUUCGUCGCUCUUAUAAGGAUCGAGCAAGUAAGUAACUUGUUCCCCCUCCAUGCCAAGGACUCGUUUGGUCACGAUCCUUCUCGGGUCUAGUGGCGAUCGGACUAUAACAAUGUCGCCAACCUUCACCUUUCCAAGCCGCGGGGAGACCCUCUCGGCCAGGAUUAGGUCGCCAGUGAGGUUGAUAGUUGGAACCAUGCUCGGACCGUAAGCCUGCAAAAAUCCCUCUCCAAAGCACACAAAUGAAAAAGACAUCAAAUUUCGGAUUCGAGCUGGAAGGAAAUGUGUGAGGUUUUCCAGCAAUGUGCAGAAACUUACAAGUGCAAGUGUACAGAGGUGGGAAUUCGUGACGUGGAGGAUGGCGUAUGCCUUUGCCACCAUUAGGGUUUUGUCACAGACCUCUCUGAUGAAGCUCCGCAUCAUCUGGAAACCCAAUUGCGAUUAUAUCAAAAAAAUUCACUAAUUGGUUGCUCUACGAGACUGCAAAAUUUAAUCGAUCGAAAGCUUGGUAAUCAGCGGCAGCAGACAGCAGUAGUACCGAGAUUCAAUCGCCAUGGGAAAAAGGACAAAGAUCAAACAAUGAGAAAAUAGGUGAGAGAAGAACAGCACUAUACCGCCGGCGGAAGGAUGAUUUGUCGGCGUCGAUUAGAUCGGCGGAGAGGCGAAGAAUCUCGUCGGCCAUUUGUUAGCUUGGGAGAAAGAUAGAGUUCAGUACGGGCUAUUGUGAUCAUAAUGGCGGGAAGAAACGGCGGCGUUUUAAAGUGACUUGGCAAUGGGUCGGAUACGGGACGGAUACCCCUAUCCCCUAUCCAUUGCCCGUGAAUAAUGCCCAUGGGUUUUACCCGUCACCGAUCCAUUAAACUUGAUGGGUAAAAAGUUAUUACCAAACCCAUAUUGGUAACGUUUUCGGGUAAACCCAUGGUUGUCGGGUAUACCCAAUGUGAAGUAAAAACUGUGAAAUUUCAUUACUCAGAAUUCAGAAACUGAAAUGUAAAAAGUAUCCAAGAAAUAUGAAUCCAGAGCUAAGAACAGUUACCCAAAUUCCAGAACUCUGGGAAAUGAACUCGGAAAGAAAAACACAAACUGAAGUCUGAAACCCUAAAAAUUGUUUAUAUAUCAUAGACAAAACGACGUCGUUUUGUUAUCGGAUCGGUGAUGGGUCGGAUAUCCCAUUAACCAUAACCGCCCGUCGCCCGAAUUUCGUCGGGUAGCAGGUGUGCCCGAAACCGACAAAACCCCACGGUUAAUAGGCGCAAAUCGGCUCAAUUCGGGCGGGCUCCAGCGGAUACCCGAAACCCACGGACCUACUGCCAACCCUACUAUUGCGAUAGGUUUUAAAAUAUAAUUGACCAACGUAUACUCUGAACUGAUACAUAUAUGCCUCGAAACAAAUUUGUAAUCCGAGUCUUUCGGGUGAGAAGCGAAUAUCCUAAACAACUAGACUAUAUCGAAUUAAAUAUUAGUUGAAUGUGAAUAGCACUAUUCGUAAAAUGUAUUACUAUCUUGACUUGGUUUGUCAACGUUUUCGAUUAGAUUGAAUAGUUGAUGUCCAUUAUCAAUUUAUUCUAGUUUUAGUUUUAGGUAGGCUGAAUUCAGGCAUGAUAUAUUGGGAUAUCAUCCAUGAUAUAUAAAGAGUAAAAUACGGUUCAUGCUACUAUAAUCUUAAUAUAUUACACCAAAUGUUAUUAUAAUUUAUAUCAUUUUAACUUGGUAACUUGUUAGAUCUUAUAAACUUACAAUAAUAAAUAAACGCAUGUGAAACACUACCCUUGAUUAGAAAAUGAAGUAUGCAAAUUUUUUCAUUGCAUGAAUUUUCAUAACAAUUGUCGAGGGUAAUAUGAUUAAAGGCCAUGUGUUCAAAUAUCCCAAUAAGAAAACAUUGUAGCACAUCGCCAAGCCACGCAGUUUCAUAACUCAUAACUGAAUCAAACAAAUAACCAGAGAUUUGGUAGAAAUUCACAUUUUUAUCAAGCACAAAGUUGACUAUGAAUGCAGCCAAGAUGCAUUUGGAGUUUGAAAGCAUCCCAAGAGCGAACAUAGAAACCAAGAUCAACACGAAACUCAGGUAGUACUCGUUAUUCAUGCUGCUGAGUGGCGAGAAUUUUGUCUGAUUAGGGACACCAUCACAGGACGGACUGCGUAGACGCAGAACAAAACGAAAGCAACGGUGGCCGGAACUGAGUAGAGAACAUUCAGUGCGCUCACGGUGUAAGAAAACAGAAUCAACACGAAGAUCCAUCCAAUUAGAUCAUCAUGAUCCUAACUCGUCUCUGUCAGGUUGUCUUUACAGUUUGGUCAGUCAGAUUGUUAGCUGAUUUUUGGUAAUCAUAGGUCAAGUGGUAGUUAGUGGGAGCCUGUUUUGUAGGCUGAGAUCUUUGCUAUGUAAGUUGUGCAACGAUCAUUCAAUAAAAGUGUCGGAUUGCCCUCCUCUGAGUUUACAGUCAAUAGAUUCACACUCCAUAGAUUUCAAGAACGCAUCCAUCGCAAUUCAUUAGAAAACCUCACCCUCAAGGCCUCAACCAAACAGCCCCCACCCUGCAACAAUCACAGAUCUCAACUUAGGAAAUCGAAGGAUGAAAGUAGGAAUGGUUACGGUUUAAGCUUUCAUCCGGCAGAACAGCCUAAGAAGAACAUCACAGACGAAUCUAACUUAGUACAUAGCAAGAACUUACGAUUCCAGUUUCCAUUUUGUAUUUUGAUUCAAUUAUUAUUUGUCGAAUGACGUGGCAACAUACGAAAAAGUAUGAAUCCACAAUAUAUAGGGUAAAUAAGCUUUAUUGGAAAAUAAUAUAUCAAAAGCAAAACGAAUACUCCGUGGAAACAUGUAUCGGGUGCAAACGUCAUAUGACGGUAUAUCAUUGGGUGAUUUUUAUUUUUUUAUCAAAUAGUAGUGUGUUAGCCUUUAUAAAUGUAAAAACGUACAAAUCAAUUCUUAAAAUUUAUAAUUUAAAUUCAUUCCACCGUUAAUUCUUUUUAUAAGUGAUGUUGAAUUUAUUGAAGGGGUUCCAUGAAAAGUGGAACAAACCCAUAAGAACUCUUCUUCAAUUCCUCAGUGGUUGUCAGUUCAAUCUCUGCCAACUUCCUAACCAUCAUCUCAACCAUCUUUCAUUAAUUCCUCUUCCGACGAUUACAACACUGUCAAGAUAUUCAAUGACCCAGUACUUUUACCACAGGGUAAAAGAAACUAGUAAGAAAUAUUUACUGCCCUGUUUGCAGGAAAUGGCCAAAAAUCAGAGCUGAGUUGUUUCUUUAUUCGAUUUGAUCACAUGGUCUGGUUCUAGGACGUUUGUUUCUUUAUAUUUUUAAUUUUUGUUAUUUAUUAUUAUUAUGUCUCCUGGUAAUUUUGGUUUUAUGUAGAAUUAGUUUGGAUGAGAUCUUUUCGAAUGUAUAGUAUUUUGGAGAGAAAUAAUGCGUUGUUUGAGAAUAUAUUUAUAGCGGGAGAAUUAUCUUAUUUCACUAAUUGAGUUAUUUAAUAUGGCAUCUUGAUAACGCAAAUAUCACGUUCUCAAAACAUGUGGUAUUUCAAAUACAUAAGAGGUGGGGAGGUAUUUGAAAUAAUUCGAAAAAAAUAUGAAAUAAUUCGAAAAAAAUAAGUUAUUCCAAAUACCACAUCCCAAAAUGUCUCAGAUUUCAUUUUAGUUGUAAAAAUAAAUUAUAUCGAUGAGGUAUUUAAAAUAAUCACGAUCUAAAAUACAUAGACAAAAUAAUACCAAAAACCAAUUAUAUGGAUCAAAAUAUCUCAUCCAAACUAACAUCAUCGACAAAAACAUACUCCCGAAUAAUAAUUCAUUUUCAUAUUCAUCGCAUUUUGAUGAAUUUUUCGAACCAUCAAAACAAGUAAAAAGUUUGAUAUCUCGUCCGAACAGACCAAUAGAAUAGAUUCCUACCGAAAAAUCCAAACCCAAGAGUAUGAUUUUAUCAAAAAAAAUUCAUACCAAAACCAACCAAUUCCUGAGACUGUAGCAUCUGUAAAUUUCACAGGUUUUAUACGUGUUAAAAGAACAAAGACGAGCAAAAGAAACAAAGAAAUUCUUCUUCCAGUAUUCUGUAUUUCCUGUAAGCAAAAGACUGACUCUACCAAGUAUAGUCGUGCAUAUAUAAACAAAUUUCACCAUUGAAAGAAUUAUUAUGCUUAGAACAUAUUUACACGGAAGAACCAUGGCAGCACGAAUGCGAUUACCAGGCAUGCCAUCAGGAAGUUGCAGAAUGGUUGUCCCCUCCAGCAUCCUCCUCCUCCGCCGGUUUCCGAUUGGUUCGUGCCGUGGAUUAGUCUCAUCUGGUUCCACUCCUCCAUGAAUCCCAUGUUGUCCGCCACGCCUGUGAUGUUCUUUGCUGUCUCCCCGCAGAUUUCACACACUCUGCAAACGAAUACAAAGAACAAAACGAUGUGUUAUAAGAUGGUAUUGCAAAUGAUUCUAUCUCGAAAUUAUGAUAUGGCUGCGUUAAUGAAUAAUAUAAACUCUGAUCUUGGACCCUCUCGUAACAGUUCGAGUUGUUGAGAUUUUUUAUGCAAAGGUUCGUUCUUAACAUGGCAUUAGAAGCUUUGCCUGAUAAAAGAUCAAUGUUACAUAUCUCGAUAGCCCCUUAUCUUGGUUGCACAAGGAUUCUCGAAGUUGCGCAAACCUCGGACUCUUCAAAGAGCGCUUCCGUUUGAAGGGUCGUGUUAACGAAUAUAAACCUCAAUCUUGAACCCUCCCCCAACAACUCGAGUUAUUGGUACGCAAUGUUUCAUAACAAAACGCAGUUCACUAUAACAAGUUCACUAAGCUCAGUAGUAUAGUUUCUAAGUUGAAAGGUAUCUGCAAACAAGCAUGAUUGCCGAAAAAUUCUGCAAAAUCAAUUGCAACAUCAAACUACAAUCCAGCAUCAAACACUAACAACGUUAGCUAAACAAAUUUCAAAUGUUCUUUUUCAUUUACCUGUUGCCUUUGAGCUUAAACCAAGCUUCCCCGCAAUGAGAAUGAGCAACACCAAGCUCAUCUUUACAUCCACAACCAAGCUGAAUCAGCUCCAUUGAUGUCACUACCACACCAGGAGCAGCCGCCACUACCUCUAUCGACCCUUCAGAACUCAAAUGGCAGAUCCUGCAAACCUUCUCCCCACCAUCAAAGUUCAUCUCAAUCACAUACGACGACGCCUUAUCAAAUUUCGAAACUUUUGCCGCCUUAGAUUUGUCCGAGUUCAUGCCAUUUCCUUCCCCUCCUUCAUCAAAUGCAUCCACUUUUCCAUGCCCACCACCUGUUCGACCAUUUUCCGAGCUGACUCCUGCAUCCAAAUCACUGAAACUCCCCGCCACCUGGCAAGAAUUCUUCACCAGCUCGUCCUUAGCAACCAAUUCUGUUCUUGAAUCUGACAAUUCCUUAGCAAUCUCAUUGACUUUCUCAUGCCCACCACCUGUUCGACCAUUUUCCGAGCCCACAUCCCGCCGCAAUUCGUCCACUCCUUCAUCCAAAUCUCUGUUCCCGCCACUGAAACUUGCCGCCGGCGCGUCUGUUUUUGAAUCUGACGAUUCCUUAUUAGCAAUCAUCUCCAAGCCAAUUCCAUUGCCGGAAACUUGAACCGUUCCUCGACUUGAAUCCCCAGCUUCCACCAUUCUACAAAACCUCUAAAGCUAUAACCUUUAUCUUCUUCAAAAUCUGUACACCAUGGGAAUGGGAUUUGUGGGACUCCCAGCUCGGAAUCUCUGGUUUAAGGACAGACGGUAAAAAUUCGGACGAAUCGUAGAAGACAACAGAAGGAAAUAUGAUAACUUUGCGGAAAGAAACUGAAGACCCAGUUGUCGUUUCUGGCUCUUCGUCGUUACUAACUUCAUAUCAAACUCCAACGCAUAAAUCCGAAAGCUUUAGCCGGCCAUUUGAAGAAAGACUAAGCGUUUACCUGCAGAGAGAUGAGAGAGAAAUUCCUCUGUGUUUUUUUUUCAAAUUUGUUAACUAUCGAAAUAGAGAGAUUAGGGAAACUGAUAAUAAUGUGCUGAAAUUUUACAAGAGAAAUUAGCAAACAAGGAGGAUAGGUACAUAUUAGUACACCAAACACACAUCGGAUCGGGUCGUCGAAUCAUCUUCAUAACUCAUAAGGUUAAAGAUGGUAAUAAAACAAUAUUAAUAUGGCCAUUAAAUUAUCGAUCAAAUUGAUUAUUUAUGAUAUCAUUUUAUAUAGUUUUUUGUGAAAUAUCUCUAAGGUUUAUUCACGCUAAUUAGAUUUUAUACCUUUUCAUUUAGAAGCAUGUUAAUGAAUGAUAUUGAACCUUUUCCAAGUUCCAACCAUAGACCGAUCCAAGAUGGCUUAGAAGUCUAAAUUCCAAAAUCUACCUCGUUUCCGUUGCUUCGAAAAUCCAAUUACAUAUUAGUCAAAAUUAAGAACAAUGAUACAUAUGAUAUCAUAACUCUUAAUCAAGGAGACCCUAAUCGUUUAACCAUAAGAGCAUAUACAUAAAUCUGUUCGUAUUUUCAAUAACUCGAGUUAUUUCUACAAAAUGAAUUGACAAUCACGAGUAAUGUGUACAUGAAUCAAACAAGGAAUCUCGUAGUUUAAGGUUGAUUAAGAAAUUAAAACAUGAUCCACGUCCUUAUUGGCUGGAAAUAAAUGACAUGUGCCGUGCCAACCAAGCAACCAACCCCAAUCCUUUCUUCAUUUAUGAAAAAAAGAAAAUUCCAGCAGAAAAUAACAAACAUUAAUGAUAUAAAAUUGAUUAGUCUCUCUUCAAGUAGGGUCGACUAAUUUGGGGAUUGUUAGGCAUUCUGACUCCAAUUGGGGCCACUUGGGUUAAGCCUAUGGUCAAUCCAAGAACGUUAACUCUUAUAUCGACCUUCGUCAUAGCAUACCGAUCAUCAGUUUGGUUUUCGAACAUGUAAGGUGAUUCGGUGGGUCGAAAUGACUGGGACGAAAUAUUAUGUUGGGACAGAAGACGAUUCAUUCAAGGUAAUUUCCAACUCUGAACCAUCAGAACAGAUUGUUUCUUAUUACAGUCUGACAAGGCCAGCCUGUUACUGGACACAAGAUACUGGGACACAAAUGAUUGACUAACAAUAAACACAGCACAUGUUCUUUGCAAGUCAACCGAUUUCAUCCGGUUUGAGAUUGGUCACAGUCGUGAGUUUGUCGCUCAAUUCGGUUUUCAGUCAAUUCUAUCCAUUAACAAAUUUGAUUGAAAAGACAAUUAGUUUGCUCGAAGUUUGAUUAGCUCACCAACCCGCUCAAGCUAGCUCGCAAUUGUGAUCCUUCCAAUAGAGCUAAGAUCAAGCUCGUAUCUAAAGGAAGAUUGCCAAAAAUAAAAAGUCCAAGGCGCACUGCAACAGCUCUCGUUGCGUCGAAGACGAAACCCAACCACCUCAUAAAGGUUUCGAAGAAGUAUCGAGUCAGUUCAUAGCUAAUAAACACAGAACUGAUGGGAAAACACAAGCUGAAGAGCAAAAACAAUUUUAACAUUACACUUUGCACAACAGACAGACAAAUAUUGUUGCAGUAGCUUACUCUUAGAUCAACAACACAGCAUGAAUAAUACAGAAACAAAAACAACCCCCUCCGAUCCUCGACAGUUGCCCAACUUUCGUCUGUCGUAUAAUUCGGGGGAGGGGAGAUAAUUUCUUCCUAGUUUACAAAGAGUACACUUUCUCAAAAGCUUUAAUUUACCUCUUGCUACAAAAGGCUACAUAAAUCGCAAGUCCCCCAUCGGGCUAUCUUUUUUUACUAUCAAACAUGUACAUAAACAACGAGCAUACAAGUGAUGGCGACGGAUGGGGAAGGAAGCUAAGAUGGAAAUCAAUUAAACAUCGGCGGGGAGAGUGCUAUGAUCAAGCCUCCUGCGAUCCAAUUCGUGCCGGUGGGAGGAGGUAGGCAAGAAAUGGGUGCUAGGUUAGGCAGAGCGGUAGUAGGCCGCGGCAGGAUAACUGAUCGUUCCAUUUUCGCAUUAUUGAAAAAAUU
This 18553-nucleotide long non-coding RNA is filed under the name Linum usitatissimum (flax). RNAcentral describes it as "long non-coding RNA (LUSI_LNC008207)". The stretch from base 9524 to 9596 matches the Rfam family "tRNA". Lineage: Eukaryota; Viridiplantae; Streptophyta; Magnoliopsida; Malpighiales; Linaceae. The record is from RNAcentral.